Molecule: long non-coding RNA, 1227 nt
Filed under: Neodiprion pinetum (white pine sawfly)
Lineage: Eukaryota; Metazoa; Arthropoda; Insecta; Hymenoptera; Diprionidae
Description: uncharacterized LOC124216121
Source: RNAcentral
CUUCUUUUGCUCACUGAUAUCUGGAACUUGAUACAUCAUCUGUUGCUGUUAUCCCAGUAGAAGUUUAGUGAAUAGAAGGAAGAAUCUUCCUUGAAGUGAUCCCGUUACAGGAACUACACGUGUUGGAUAAUUGGCAUUGGGCAGCUUCAUCGAUAUCAGUAAAUGCAAUUGGGCCAAUUAUUGCCUGUACUAAUGCCUGCGUUACCAAUGGAAUUUUGAGGCUUUCGUGUUUGAUGAAUAUCGAGGAUCCAUUUUCCGGAACAUCUUGGAAUCAGUCAUGUGGACUGAUUAAUCAGACCUACCGCGUCAAACCUGCUACCAGUGGUAGGGCGAGGGGCGCUGGUGACUUGAUCUACAAUUACAUCGACCAAUAUCAGUUUGAGCGACAAGUAAUUUGUACAGUUCCGGAUGUAACGAUCACUCAAUGAAGAUCGCCAAGAAGAAAGUUUAGGAUACAGUUCUUCGACUGUAAGGAUUCGGUGGAUUUGAGAGACGAAGUUUUGAAUUAAAAAACCGCCAAGAUGUGGUAAAUCAGAUGCGUGAUAAAAAGGAUAUUAUGUCGAACAACACUGCGCGGUAUGGCCUAUUCCAUAUGUAGGUCAAUACGGCUUAUUGUCAUCCCGGAACGCUCAUCAGUUAUGACCUUCAGAUAUAGUCCAUUCUACCUUCUCAGUGCCGUACAAAGUAUUCCUCUUCCCACUCAUCCGGCGAGACUUCACAGAACUAGUUGCUUAUACCUUGUGCAAAAUCACAUCAGUGAACGAGAUUAUCGUCAUCAUUUUGCAACCUACCUUCGAAUCUCGAGAAGCAUCAAACAGUCGCGACCUUAGGUACAUGGCCUGGUACAAUUUAUAAUUUGUCGCAUAUUCCUUGCUAAUUAGCUGAGUCUGAUUAUAUGUAAUUUUAUUAUUGUAAAUUUACUAAGCGAGUGGGUCAUUAAUCUGCCCUCCAUCUGUCAUGAAUUGCCCAUUUGUGAGCGACUAAGGUCGUAGCUUUGUGAAACGAUCGUUAAGGCUUCAAAAUUCGUAGUUGUAUCUUAUAAAAUCGACAUAUUAUUACACCAACUAUUUUUAUUUGUAGUUUAUUUUCUUGUAUCGUUCUAUAUCAAAGAGAAAAAAAAAUAUUACAACACACUAUUGCGUAAAGACAAUCUAGAUUAUAUACAAUAAUACGGCUAUAAUAUAAAAAUGAAAGAAUUAUUCAUUUCAAAUGGGACUCUAUUCGACA